Molecule: long non-coding RNA, 217 nt
Organism: Hippocampus comes (tiger tail seahorse)
Lineage: Eukaryota; Metazoa; Chordata; Actinopteri; Syngnathiformes; Syngnathidae
Exons: 2
Source: RefSeq, a predicted model, not a curated record
UCAGAGAAAAAUAAUUUGAGAAUAACAACUAGCACUAAAAGCAGCUAUAAUAGGAUCUCACAGCCAUGGCAUCUUAGGGGUUCUGGUACAUUGAGAUACAGUGAAACUCCUCGACAACGAAACCUACAUAAAUACCCCCCAAUGUGAAAAAAUCUUCAUGCAUUAACACCAUUCCCACUUUCCUGCUCAACAUACAACGAGAAAAACCCCUGUUGCG